Molecule: ribosomal RNA, 254 nt
Filed under: uncultured bacterium
Lineage: Bacteria
Description: partial 16S ribosomal RNA
Rfam family: Bacterial small subunit ribosomal RNA
Source: RNAcentral
UACGUAGGGGGCGAGCGUUGUCCGGAUUUAUUGGGCGUAAAGAGCUCGUAGGCGGUUCGAUAAGUCAGGCGUAAAAACUCCAGGCUCAACUUGGAGAGGCCACCUGAUACUGUCGUGACUAGAGUCCGGUAGAGGAGCACGGAAUUCCUGGUGUAGCGGUGAAAUGCGCAGAUAUCAGGAGGAACACCAGCGGCGAAGGCGGUGCUCUGGGCCGGAACUGACGCUGAGGAGCGAAAGCGUGGGGAGCGAACAGG